This 542-nucleotide ribosomal RNA is filed under the name Paenibacillus sp. S150. RNAcentral describes it as "partial 23S ribosomal RNA". It matches the Rfam family "Bacterial large subunit ribosomal RNA", at positions 969 to 1512 of the family's 2925-position model. The record is from RNAcentral. Lineage: Bacteria; Bacillati; Bacillota; Bacilli; Caryophanales; Paenibacillaceae.
ACUUCUUGCCGGGAGUCAGACAGUGAGUGCUAAGAUCCAUUGUCAAAAGGGAAACAGCCCAGACCAUCAGCUAAGGUCCCGAAGUGUGUGUUAAGUGGGAAAGGAUGUGGAGUUGCCCAGACAACCAGGAUGUUGGCUUAGAAGCAGCCACCAUUGAAAGAGUGCGUAAUAGCUCACUGGUCGAGUGACUCUGCGCCGAAAAUGUAACGGGGCUAAACACACCACCGAAGCUAUGGCUAGAUACGGUUGUAUCUGGGGUAGGGGAGCGUUGUGUAUGCGUUGAAGGUGUACCGUAAGGAGCGCUGGAGAGUACACAAGUGAGAAUGCCGGUAUGAGUAACGAAAAGAUCAGUGAGAAUCUGAUCCGCCGAAAGCCCAAGGUUUCCUGAGGAAGGCUCGUCCGCUCAGGGUAAGUCGGGACCUAAGGCGAGGCCGACAGGCGUAGUCGAAGGACAACAGUUUGAAAUUACUGUACCACCGUAAUCCGCGAUGAGCGAUGGGGUGACGCAGGAGGGUAGUGACGCGGACUGAUGGAUGUCCGUC